Molecule: unclassified non-coding RNA, 70 nt
Filed under: Flavobacterium haoranii
Lineage: Bacteria; Pseudomonadati; Bacteroidota; Flavobacteriia; Flavobacteriales; Flavobacteriaceae
Description: Flavo-1 RNA
Source: RNAcentral
CGCUAGCCCAGAUUGAGCAAUUUGCUGGAGCUCUUUUUAAAAAAAGCGACUUGCGAAAGCUGGAUAAAGC